Molecule: long non-coding RNA, 1496 nt
Organism: Syzygium oleosum
Lineage: Eukaryota; Viridiplantae; Streptophyta; Magnoliopsida; Myrtales; Myrtaceae
Exons: 3
Source: RefSeq, a predicted model, not a curated record
AUUACUAUCUCUUCUUCAUAUGUCUCCUCUCUCUUUCAUCUCGGUCGAAUCUUCCAUGGCGCUCAUUGCUCCAUCUCUCGUGCUCUUAGUCCCCCAUCUCUCGUGCUCCCAGGCUCGAGACGCUCCAAGUCCUCCAUCUCUCGCGCUCCCAGGCUCGAGACGCUCCAAGUCCUCCAUCUCUUGCGCUCAGAGUCCCCUAUCUCUUGCGCUCCUAGGCUCGAGUCGCUCGGACAUCUCUCGGUUGUGAACAUGAUAUUUUGAAAUUUGUUGAUCAUAGACUUUAUAUAUUGGAUAAGAUGAUGGUUCUUGCAUAAUUGUUCUUGCUCUGUAUUGCCUUUUGCCAAGAUGCACUCAAUGUGUUCGAUGAUUUGCCUUUGUGAUUUUAGUGUCAAUUUGCCUGUGUUAUUAAUCAAAUUUGGUGAUACUUGCAUGAUCUGGAUGACUUCAUUCUGAUGCGUUGAUCGUUUGAAAUACUUCUUGAUUUAUUCUCUCUUGAGGUCGAGAACUAGGGUUAAGGUUUGUGAGAAAAUUGUCUCUAAUUCUGAAUUUAUUAGUAAUAUAAACACACAUUGAUGUUGCUGUGACAGUUUGGAAUUAGACGACGUUUUGAUGCUUCAUUUAUGCCUUCUGUUCAAACUAACCUCCACAUGUUUGUUAAAAUGCCCAAACGAAUCAGUGUUCAAGUUUUAAAAGGGCUCUUACAUUUUAGUGAUUGAUUGACUAUUGCACAUUUAAACUGAGGGUAUACGUCUCUGAAACAUGUCCAUUUGACCAUAGCUAAGACUUAUCUAUGCAUGUUGCUCAAGAGGUUGAUUGUCCAGAUGUUUCAAAGUAUAUCUCCAUUGGCAAAGAGUGAUUUGACAGAGAAAACCAAUGCUAGUCACCAUGGAGAGCUUUGUGCGAAGUGGAUCUCAUGCAAAUGAUGUUAGAUUGAGUGGCGGCAGAGCAUUGAGUCAAUUCAUGAGUGACAAUUGUAACGUUUCAUGCAAGCAAUAGCGACGAGCAACCCUCUAUACCCUGCGGACCCCAAGAAAUCCUAUAAGGAGACUAUUUCACCAUUCAACAUGGAGGGUUGAUGAUUGUGGAUUUUUAAAAUGGAUUGAUCCUUAUCUGACAAUACAAGAGAAAUAAGUCAUCUGCCAACUGAUGAAUGAUAAUGAGACAUUGAAGGAGAGGCUGCAAAAUGUGGAGAAUCAAUUGAACAAUGGCUUACAGAAUGAUAUUAUGAGAAUGCAAGCGAAGGAGAAGACACGUGUUAGAGUUAUACUUGUAUUGGUGGAAGCUUUAAUUGUGUUAAUGAUUUAUAAGGUUGGUUGGAUGGUGCAACAUUGCUUGCUGUAAAUGUUUAUUUUCUGAGAAUUUCUCUUUGCAACUAUUAGUUCACUUGAACCGUUUGUCAGCCAUUGUAGAGUUGGCGUUGUGGAGGGGGAAAGAUGGGCUAUUUUUGUAAACUCGUUAUCUAUUUUAACAAAAAUGACCAUAGGUAGCUUUUUUCA